Molecule: ribosomal RNA, 496 nt
Filed under: uncultured bacterium
Lineage: Bacteria
Description: partial 16S ribosomal RNA
Rfam family: Bacterial small subunit ribosomal RNA
Source: RNAcentral
GAUGAACGCUGGCGGCGUGCCUAAUACAUGCAAGUCGAGCGAACGGACGAGAAGCUUGCUUUUCUGAUGUUAGCGGCGGACGGGUGAGUAACACGUGGAUAACCUACCUAUAAGACUGGGUUAACUUCGGGAAACCGGAGCUAAUACCGGAUAAUAUUUUGAACCGCAUGGUUCAAAAGUGAAAGACGGUCUUGCUGUCACUUAUAGAUGGAUCCGCGCUGCAUUAGCUAGUUGGUAAGGUAACGGCUUACCAAGGCAACGAUGCAUAGCCGACCUGAGAGGGUGAUCGGCCACACUGGAACUGAGACACGGUCCAGACUCCUACGGGAGGCAGCAGUAGGGAAUCUUCCGCAAUGGGCGAAAGCCUGACGGAGCAACGCCGCGUGAGUGAUGAAGGUCUUCGGAUCGUAAAACUCUGUUAUUAGGGAAGAACAUAUGUGUAAGUAACUGUGCACAUCUUGACGGUACCUAAGCAGAAAGCCACGGCUAACUACGU